This is a long non-coding RNA of Tripterygium wilfordii, 1354 nucleotides long. RefSeq lists it as uncharacterized. The record is from RefSeq and is a predicted model, not a curated record. NCBI's taxonomy places the organism in Eukaryota, Viridiplantae, Streptophyta, Magnoliopsida, Celastrales, Celastraceae. The transcript is spliced from 4 exons.
CAAGGGAGGAUAAAUAUAUUCGGAAGGCAAUUUUUAUCACCUAAAUUAAUUUACCCCUUUUAACCGUUUCGCGCCUCGCUGCGUCUCCCUGAUAAGCGGCGAAAUCGAAUUGCAGUUCCAGAAUCGGAUCCAAAGAACAUCUCUCUGCGCAGUUUCAGAUUUGGACAAUGCGAUGAGAAGCAUAGAUGAAUUGAUAUGGACCUUCCCAGUCUAAUGCGGGAAUCCAGUGUCCAGAGUCGAAGCACAUGUUUUCAAUCCAUGUGAUGGGCGCCAACUUUGAGAGCAACCGUCAUCUCACUCUACAAACCAUCACACUAAUCCGUGACAGAUAUGCAGAUAUUGUACGUCACUGUCACUGCACAUUGGAGCUUUCUUUUGUUCAAGAAAUGGUUGAUGUUUUUCUUCUUCUAAGGAGCAUACUUACACCUUCUGUAUUAUGGGGGAAAGUGUUCCCAUAGGACCAAGAUUGGGCAUUCGGGCCAUAUAACUGUAAUAUAACAGAAUGAUGGCUUGAAGAAGAAUUUUUUUCCUGCUGGUUAUAUUGUUCAUGUAUCCAUUGUUUGCUAAACGCAAGAUACGCAAAAAUCCACAAAACAAAUCUUGUCUUUGAAUCUGGGAUUCACUCCCACCUGGGUGUCCAUUUAUAUAUGGAUACAACUUAAUGCCAUGAGUUGCACACGGCAUACAAAGGUCAUCUACAGCUUCAAAACUGCUAAAAGAUCAAAUCUUGUUACAGCUGUAUUUUCUGAUGGCUCUUGUUGAAAGGGGUACAUAGUGAGGAUUUUUGCAUUCUGGAAGGUCUUGGUCUUUGUUUUUCUUGUCCUUCAUCGGCAGAUAUAUUCAUUGUUCAUGCACUUAUUUGGAUUAUGGAUCUUCUGUGGGCCAAUUGAUAAGUCCUUAAAUCAGGACCGUUCAUUAUUAGCUAUUGAUAGUCAUAGGAGGAAAACCUUUUAAGAUGUCCGCUGCCAAUUUAUGUAUCGUGUUCCCACAAACAACUAAAUAAAUGGGAAUACCUAUAUAUGGAUGUUUUUGUUUUUAGUUUCUGACUAACCAGAAAGGUUUCAAUCAUGUCAAAGCUGGGUUUUUUGUGAAGAAGAUACUUCCACAAAGAUCUCAAUUCAUCAAGCAUAAUAUAAUAGUGUCCUGGGAGAAGCUUUCAGAUUAGCUCAAAUGAAGGAUUAAGACGGGAACUGAAAUUAUGUCUGCAAUGUGGAUUUGUAGAACUUCAUAUCGUGGUGUUGAUUUGAUAUGUUCGAAGAUUCAAGCUAAUGUGAAAUCAUGAUAAGAGUAAUAAAAGAGAGUCUGAACUGUGAAAUCCUUGCUCUCUGCCAUUCAAAUUUCUUGUGCUUUUUCC